UACAGCAAUUGAUGGAUGCCUUGGCUUCAUCAGGCGACGAAGGACGCAGCAAGCUGCGAUAAGCUUCGGGGAGCGGCACGCACGCUAUAUAUCCGAAGAUUUCCGAAUGGGGAAACCCGGCACCUCUCAUAGGGUGUCACUUCGAUCUGAAUACAU
Molecule: ribosomal RNA, 156 nt
Filed under: Beta vulgaris subsp. vulgaris (sugar beet)
Lineage: Eukaryota; Viridiplantae; Streptophyta; Magnoliopsida; Caryophyllales; Amaranthaceae
Description: rRNA 5_8S_rRNA
Rfam family: Bacterial large subunit ribosomal RNA
Source: RNAcentral